This 342-nucleotide unclassified non-coding RNA is filed under the name uncultured fungus. RNAcentral's name for it is "partial contains 5.8S ribosomal RNA and internal transcribed spacer 2". The stretch from base 1 to 133 matches the Rfam family "5.8S ribosomal RNA", at positions 22 to 154 of the family's 154-position model. Lineage: Eukaryota; Fungi. The record is from RNAcentral.
UGGUUCUGGCAUCGAUGAAGAACGCAGCGAAAUGCGAUACGUAAUGUGAAUUGCAGAAUUCAACGAAUCAUCGAAUUUUUGAACGCAUAUUGCGCCCAUUGGUAACCCGAUGGGCAUGCCUGUUCGAGCGUCAUUUCAACUCUCAAGUACUGUUUUGCUUGGUGUUGGGGCUUUCUGUAGUACUCUAUACUACAGACCCUGAAAGACAUUGGCGGUACUGUUAUAGACCUAAACGUAGUACAACUACUGUUCGUUUCAGGCGCUGUAAUCGUUUACUCGGCCACUAAAUACGAUUUUACAUCACCAAAAGUUGACCUCGGAUCAGGUAGGAAUACCCGCUGA